AGUGAACGCUGGCGGUAGGCCUAACACAUGCAAGUCGAACGGCAGCACAGUAAGAGCUUGCUCUUACGGGUGGCGAGUGGCGGACGGGUGAGGAAUACAUCGGACUCUACUUUUUCGUGGGGGAUAACGUAGGGAAACUUACGCUAAUACCGCAUACGACCUACGGGUGAAAGCAGGGGAUCUUCGGACCUUGCGCGAUUGAAUGAGCCGAUGUCGGAUUAGCUAGUUGGCGGGGUAAAGGCCCACCAAGGCGACGAACCGUAGCUGGUCUGAGAGGAUGAUCAGCCACACUGGAACUGAGACACGGUCCAGGCUCCUACGGGAGGCAGCAGUGGGGAAUAUUGGACAAUGGGCGCAAGCCUGAUCCAGCCAUACCGCGUGGGUGGAGAAGGCCUUCGGGUUGGAAAGCCCUUUUGUUGGGAAAGAAAAGCAGCAGGUUAAUACCCCGCUGUUCUGACGGUACCCAAAGAAUAAGCACCGGCUAACUUCGUG
This 492-nucleotide ribosomal RNA is filed under the name uncultured bacterium. RNAcentral describes it as "partial 16S ribosomal RNA". It matches the Rfam family "Bacterial small subunit ribosomal RNA", at positions 29 to 507 of the family's 1533-position model. The record is from RNAcentral.